CGUAGGGUGCGAGCGUUGUCCGGAAUUAUUGGGCGUAAAGAGCUCGUAGGCGGUUUGUUGCGUCUAUCGUGAAAACCUGCGGCUUAACUGCGGGCUUGCGGUGGAUACGGGCAGACUUGAGUUCGGUAGGGGAGACUGGAAUUCCUGGUGUAGCGGUGAAAUGCGCAGAUAUCAGGAGGAACACCGGUGGCGAAGGCGGGUCUCUGGGCCGAAACUGACGCUGAGGAGCGAAAGCGUGGGGAGCGAACAGGAUUAGAUACCCUGGUAGUCCACGCUGUAAACGUUGGGCGCUAGGUGUGGGGAGCAUUCCACGUUCUCCGUGCCGUAGCUAACGCAUUAAGCGCCCCGCCUGGGGAGUACGGCCGCAAGGCUA
This 373-nucleotide ribosomal RNA is filed under the name uncultured organism. RNAcentral's name for it is "bacterial SSU rRNA". It matches the Rfam family "Bacterial small subunit ribosomal RNA", at positions 526 to 896 of the family's 1533-position model. The record is from RNAcentral.